RNAcentral lists this ribosomal RNA (467 nucleotides) under uncultured bacterium. RNAcentral's name for it is "partial 16S ribosomal RNA". It matches the Rfam family "Bacterial small subunit ribosomal RNA", at positions 29 to 507 of the family's 1533-position model. The record is from RNAcentral.
ACGAACGCUGGCGGCGUGCUUAACACAUGCAAGUCGAACGGAAAGGCCCUGCUUUUGUGGGGUGCUCGAGUGGCGAACGGGUGAGUAACACGUGUGUAACCUGCCCUUGACUUUGGGAUAACUUCAGGAAACUGGGGCUAAUACCGGAUAGGAGCUCCUGCUGCAUGGUGGGGGUUGGAAAGUUUCGGCGGUUGGGGAUGGACUCGCGGCUUAUCAGCUUGUUGGUGGGGUAGUGGCUUACCAAGGCUUUGACGGGUAGCCGGCCUGAGAGGGUGACCGGCCACAUUGGGACUGAGAUACGGCCCAGACUCCUACGGGAGGCAGCAGUGGGGAAUAUUGCACAAUGGGCGGAAGCCUGAUGCAGCAACGCCGCGUGCGGGAUGACGGCCUUCGGGUUGUAAACCGCUUUCGCCUGUGACGAAGCGUGAGUGACGGUAAUGGGUAAAGAAGCACCGGCUAACUACGUG